AACGAACGCUGGCGGCAUGCCUAACACAUGCAAGUCGAACGAGACCUUCGGGUCUAGUGGCGCACGGGUGCGUAACGCGUGGGAACCUGCCCUUAGGUUCGGAAUAACUCCCCGAAAGGGGUGCUAAUACCGGAUAAUGUCUUAGGACCAAAGAUUUAUCGCCUUUGGAUGGGCCCGCGUUGGAUUAGCUAGUUGGUAGGGUAAAAGCCUGCCAAGGCGACGAUCCAGAGCUGGUCUGAGAGGAGGAUCAGCAACACUGGGACUGCGACACGGCCCAGACUCCUACGGGAAGCAGCAGUGGGGAAUAUUGGACACUGGGCGAAAGCCUGAUCCAGCAAUGCCGCGUGAGUGAUGAAGGCCUUAGGGUUGUAAAGCUCUUUUACCCGGGAUGAUAAUGACAGUACCGGGAGAAUAAGCUCCGGCUAACUCCGUG
RNAcentral lists this ribosomal RNA (433 nucleotides) under uncultured bacterium. RNAcentral's name for it is "partial 16S ribosomal RNA". It matches the Rfam family "Bacterial small subunit ribosomal RNA", at positions 29 to 507 of the family's 1533-position model. The record is from RNAcentral.